Molecule: non-coding RNA, 765 nt
Organism: Taeniopygia guttata (zebra finch)
Lineage: Eukaryota; Metazoa; Chordata; Aves; Passeriformes; Estrildidae
Source: RefSeq, a predicted model, not a curated record
CACGGGCUGGAGUACCGCCUCAGAGUGCGGUUGCCAUUUUGUGGCGGGCGGGGCGGAUGAUGGCGCGGAGCUGUGCAGUGCGUGUUCGCGGGCGUGGUCUGGCCGGGAGGUGGAGGUCUUGGGCGGCACAUCCCUCCCCUCCCCGGGUGUAUCAGAGAGAAGCAGAAAGAUGUUCUCUCCCAGGAUAGACCUACCCAGAGCCCAGCUGCCCGUGGAAGGAGUGAUCUUAGUUCCCAACCCAGCAACGGCGUGCCUUUCCUUUCUUGUCUGUCCCCAUCUGAUCAACUUUAAAGUGCGUCUUUUUAAACAAGGAGAGAACAGACUUCUCUGCUCAGCUCCCUGAAACUGAACUGCUGACUGCUGGAACAACAGAGGUCAGUGUGUCUCACCUCACUGAAGUCAAAGACAAACCUAUGGAUUUUGAUAGGCUACAGCUUGGCAUUUGAAGGCAUUGUUUACGAUAUGGAGUACAAAAGUAUGUAAUAUUACGUGUAAAAAUUACUUUUCCACAAGCAUGUCAUACGCACGUACUUUUACUGUAGAUGCAGAAUUGAAUAAAUACUUUCAAACCUGGGUUUAUGGUGGGCAGGAAUACACUAUUUAAUAGCCCAAUUUUCAAAGAUUCUGUGCUACUAAUUUGUAAAUGAUCUGUAAUUAAUUAGUUCAACUCUGACACUGGAAAUUCAGAAACUUUGAAAAUGAGGCUUUUGACUUUGAAACAUUCAGGUUUGAAAGACUUGAAAAUAAAAGUACCUUUGAAUUUAA